This 421-nucleotide ribosomal RNA is filed under the name Fusobacteriota bacterium. Its description in RNAcentral is "Fusobacteria bacterium partial 16S ribosomal RNA". It matches the Rfam family "Bacterial small subunit ribosomal RNA", at positions 355 to 776 of the family's 1533-position model. Lineage: Bacteria; Fusobacteriati; Fusobacteriota. The record is from RNAcentral.
UGGGGAAUUUUGCACAAUGGGGGGAACCUUGAUGCAGCGACGCCGCGUGAGGGAUGGAGGCCUUCGGGUUGUGAACCUCUUUCGCUCGUGUGCAAGCCGCUAUUUGGGUAGUGGUGAGUGUAGCGGGUAAAGAAGCGCCGGCUAACUACGUGCCAGCAGCCGCGGUAAUACGUAGGGCGCGAGCGUUGUCCGGAUUUAUUGGGCGUAAAGGGCUUGUAGGCGGUUUGUCGCGCCUGUCGUGUAAUCCUCUGGCUUAACUGGGGGUGUGCGGUGGGUACGGGCAGGCUUGAGUGCGGUAGGGGGGAUUGGAAUUCCUGGUGUAGCGGUGGAAUGCGCAGAUAUCAGGAGGAACACCGGUGGCGAAGGCGGGUCUCUGGGCCGUUACUGACGCUGAGGAGCGAAAGCGUGGGGAGCGAACAGG